CCGUGCUAGACGGGGAGGUAGCGGUGCCCUGUAACCUGCAAUCCGCUAUAGCAGGGUCGAUGCCUGGCUGAGGCUUACUUCUGUGAGGUCUGCCCUAAGUAAGUGGUUAUGACGAUUGGGUCCUGCGCAAUAGAAUCCCAUGAACCCCGUCAGGUCCGGAAGGAAGCAGCGGUAAGUGGGUACUUCUAUGUGCCGCAGGGGUGCCUGGUCUGAGCUAACUGCUUAGGUAACGCUCGGAGUAGUAAGUCGAUGUCAGGUGCACGG
Molecule: signal recognition particle RNA, 264 nt
Filed under: Thermohalobacter berrensis
Lineage: Bacteria; Bacillati; Bacillota; Tissierellia; Tissierellales; Thermohalobacteraceae
Description: Bacterial large signal recognition particle RNA
Rfam family: Bacterial large signal recognition particle RNA
About the family: The signal recognition particle (SRP) is a universally conserved ribonucleoprotein involved in the co-translational targeting of proteins to membranes. Archaeal SRP consists of a 7S RNA and homologues of the eukaryotic SRP19 and SRP54 proteins.
Source: Rfam by way of RNAcentral